CAGCCGCCGCGGGAAUACGAAGGUCCCGAGCGUUGUUCGGAAUCACUGGGCGUAAAGGGAGCGUAGGCGGCGUGGUAAGUCAGAUGUGAAAUCCCGGGGCUCAACCCCGGAACUGCAUCCGAUACUGCCGUGCUAGAGGAUUGGAGAGGUAGCUGGAAUUCUUGGUGUAGCAGUGAAAUGCGUGGAGAUCGGGAGGAACAUCAGUGGCGAAGGCGGCCAUCUGGGACAACACUGACGCUGAGGCACGAAAGCGUGGGGAGCAAACAGGAUUAGAUACCCCCGUAGUCCCUGUCUCUUAUAC
This 301-nucleotide ribosomal RNA is filed under the name uncultured bacterium. RNAcentral's name for it is "partial 16S ribosomal RNA". It matches the Rfam family "Bacterial small subunit ribosomal RNA", at positions 509 to 807 of the family's 1533-position model. The record is from RNAcentral.